This is a non-coding RNA of Myxozyma melibiosi, 73 nucleotides long. The record is from the annotation of a RefSeq genome assembly. NCBI's taxonomy places the organism in Eukaryota, Fungi, Ascomycota, Lipomycetes, Lipomycetales, Lipomycetaceae.
GCCUCUUUGGCCAAGUUGGUAAGGCGCGGCACUAGUAAUGCCGAGAUCAUCGGUUCAAAUCCGAUAGGAGGCA